CCUACGGGCGGCAGCAAUUAGGAAUCUUGCGCAAUGGGCGAAAGCCUGACGCAGCGACGCCGCGUGACUGAUGAAGUCUUUCGGGAUGUAAAGGUCUUUUGCAGGGGACGAAGGAAGUGACGGUACCCUGCGAAUAAGCUCCGGCUAACUACGUGCCAGCAGCCGCGGUAAUACGUAGGGAGCGAGCGUUGUCCGAAUUUACUGGGCGUAAAGCGCGCGUAGGCGGGUUUUUAAGUUGUGGGUGAAAUGCCGAGGCUCAACCUCGGAACUGCCUGCAAAACUGGGAGCCUUGAGGUAUGGAGAGGGAAGUGGAAUUCCAGGUGUAGCGGUGAAAUGCGUAGAUAUCUGGAGGAACACCCGUGGCGAAGGCGGCUUCCUGGCCAUGUCCUGACGCUGAGGUGCGAAAGCUAGGGGAGCGAACGGGAUUAGAUACCCCGGUANUC
This 443-nucleotide ribosomal RNA is filed under the name uncultured bacterium. RNAcentral describes it as "bacterial SSU rRNA". It matches the Rfam family "Bacterial small subunit ribosomal RNA", at positions 338 to 795 of the family's 1533-position model. The record is from RNAcentral.